Non-coding RNA from Trametes cingulata, 87 nucleotides. The record is from the annotation of a GenBank genome assembly. Lineage: Eukaryota; Fungi; Basidiomycota; Agaricomycetes; Polyporales; Polyporaceae.
UCUCUGUUAGUAUAUCGGUUAGUACAUGCGCCUGUCACCGCCAUAUGCUGGUCGCGCGAAAGCGGGGUUCGACUCCCCGACAGAGAG